GGUCCAGGUGCUGUUGGCAAGCACUGCGGGCUGACGUCUCCCCUCAGAGGAUGACAGGCGAAUUGCUCACUCUCGGUCCUGGGGCAGGCAGGACCUGUUUGUCUGGGACUUCGUCAUCUGGAGGCGGCUCUUCCGGGUGGUGGGAGCCUUGACUCUGCCUUCUGAAUUCAGCUCCGGGUGACCCAUCUGCUUCGCCGCUAGAGGCGACAAAUGCAAGCUCUGGGCCACGCUCUGCAAGCAGUUCAGGCUGAGCGGUGGGAAGACUGCUGAACCGUGACCAGAAUGUGGCGUCACGCUUCCGGGGGACGCGCGCACUUCCUCAGAGUCAUGCAGUUACAGUCAUGAUGAACACAGCUGGGAACAAGCGAAAGCGAUGCUGCAAUACUCCCUGGGAAGACAGAACAGCAAAAGUCCCAUGUGGGUUGGACCUCUUAGAUCCGGUCUGCGCAUUUUCUUCCACUCAAGAGUGACCCGAGAUUCUCUUUGUGACUUUGCAAUGUGGAAGACCUGUAAGGAUUAAAAUCGUGAGACACCAAUCCCCUGCAGAACUGCCCCGAAGAAGACACUGAGGAGGAAAUAGGAGGCUAAGAGAGGUCUCUUGCAGAGCCCGGAGAUCAUCAGCUCAGCUUCACUGAAUGGCCAGCAAAUCCCAGGGGUCCUCACUUCUGUCCUCCCAGUGCUGGAUUACAGGCUGGCUGGGAACUCACGAUGUAGCCCAGGUUGGCCUGCAGCUAUCCUCCUGCCUCAGGCUCUCAAAUGCUGAGAAGACAGGUCAGCAUGCCUGACUAGAGACUUCUUUUCUCUGUGACAGUCUCUGGGUGGUUAGGAGCACGGGACAGAGUUCACUCGCUUCUAAAAUUACCGAGGUCAGCGCCAAGCCCUCUCCAGCAAUGCCAUCUGCUGUAUUUGUGAUACAGUCACAGUCCUCCUCACAUCUGAAUUCCAUCCUGGGACUCCCCACCUCCUAAAUGACUAAAUUCACAUACAUUAAGGCAUGCACUGGGGCAUAUGGUAGCCAGCUGAGGACUUUGGAACUGUGACUGGACCCUGAGAGCUCUGACCUCAUUGUGAAUUAAUCCCUCGAUGGAGUCAUAAUAUGAUGACAUUAUUGAGGUGGUAAAAAGUAGAAGAUGGGGCCUGGUCUAAGGAAGUAAGUCAUCCUGGAAAGACAGUCUUGUGCCCUGCUUCCUCUCCUAUCUGUGUCUGCUUCAGUCCACCAUGAGGUAAAGCUACUUGGUUCUACUACGCCCCACCCUCGUGAAGGUCUGCCUUACCUCAGGCCCAGACAACAGGUGGCUAAGGGACUGUGCGCUAAAACCUUUGAGACUGUGAACCAAAGUGAAUCACCCCUUAAUUCGGUUUUCCUUGGCUAUCGCACUUACCUAUUCACCUACUGAAGGAAGUCUUGCUUGUUCAGUUUGGGACAAGUAUGAGGAAAGAUGCUACAAAUCUUUCCCUCUUACUCCCACCAAGAUGUGCAGAGGCAGAAGCUUGCGCUCAUUCAAGAUCCGGCUUCUCGCAUAACCCACAGCACAACCUUUGCAGAGGAAGCAUUGCCGCUGAAGGUGUAGUAGAUGCUUACCACUUUACAAGAGGUGCUGAAGGCUACCCUCAUCCAUGAUGGACUAGUCUGUGGAAGCUGGAGUGACUGCCAAAACCUCCGAUGAGAGCCAAGGCCCUCUCUGUGUGCUGGUAUCCAAUUGUGAGGAGCCUCUGUACGUCAAGGGCCUCAAGGUGGAGGCCCUUUGAGCCGAGCACCAAGCAACCUAAUUAAGGUUGAUAACAAUAAGAAACUAGGGGAGAUUCAUUAGCCUCCGUAAAACUGAUCGUGAGGGGAACCACACCAAGUGGUUGAUGGCAGUUGUGCAGUAGUUAAGGACUGUGGCCUCAGGCCAGCAUGUCACCAAAGAAUACUUCAAAUAAAAGAAAUAAACAAAAUUUGGCUCAUUUUAAA
Long non-coding RNA from Peromyscus maniculatus bairdii (prairie deer mouse), 1954 nucleotides. RefSeq lists it as uncharacterized. Lineage: Eukaryota; Metazoa; Chordata; Mammalia; Rodentia; Cricetidae. The record is from RefSeq and is a predicted model, not a curated record.